CAUAAGCGGAGGAAAAGAAACCAACAGGGAUUGCCUCAGUAACGGCGAGUGAAGCGGCAACAGCUCAAAUUUGAAAUCUGGCCGCAAGGUCCGAGUUGUAAUUUGUAGAGGAUGCUUUUGGCGAGGUGACUUCCGAGUUCCCUGGAACGGGACGCCAUAGAGGGUGAGAGCCCCGUACGGUCGUGCCACCGAGCCUCUGUAAAGCUCCUUCGACGAGUCGAGUAGUUUGGGAAUGCUGCUCUAAAUGGGAGGUGUACGUCUUCUAAAGCUAAAUACCGGCCAGAGACCGAUAGCGCACAAGUAGAGUGAUCGAAAGAUGAAAAGCACUUUGAAAAGAGGGUUAAAAAGUACGUGAAAUUGUUGAAAGGGAAGCAUUCAUGACCAGACUUGGGCUUGGUUGAACAUCCGGCGUUCUCGCCGGUGCACUCUGCCAGCUCAGGCCAGCAUCAGUUUGCCCCGGGGGAUAAAGGCGGUGGGAAUGUAGCUCCCUUCGGGGAGUGUUAUAGCCCGCCGUGUAAUGCCCUGGGGUGGACUGAGGUUCGCGCUUCGGCACGGAUGCUGGCGUAAUGGUCAUCAAUGACCCGUCUUGAAACACGGACCAAGGAGUCGUCUUCGUAUGCGAGUGUUCGGGUGUCAAACCCCUACGCGUAAUGAAAGUGAACGUAGGUGAGAGCUUCGGCGCAUCACCGACCGAUCCUGAUGUUCUCGGAUGGAUUUGAGUAAGAGCAUACGGGGCCGGACCCGAAAGAAGGUGAACUAUGCCUGUAUAGGGUGAAGCCAGAGGAAACUCUGGUG
RNAcentral lists this ribosomal RNA (795 nucleotides) under Sarocladium glaucum. RNAcentral describes it as "eukaryotic LSU rRNA". It matches the Rfam family "Eukaryotic large subunit ribosomal RNA", at positions 45 to 869 of the family's 3401-position model. Lineage: Eukaryota; Fungi; Ascomycota; Sordariomycetes; Hypocreales; Sarocladiaceae. The record is from RNAcentral.